GCAGUGGUGGUUUAGUGGUAGAAUUCUCACCUUCUAUGCAGGAGACCCAGGUUCGAUUCCCAGCCAAUGCA
This 71-nucleotide transfer RNA is filed under the name Loxodonta africana (African savanna elephant). It matches the Rfam family "tRNA". Rfam says of the family: Transfer RNA (tRNA) molecules are approximately 80 nucleotides in length. Their secondary structure includes four short double-helical elements and three loops (D, anti-codon, and T loops). Further hydrogen bonds mediate the characteristic L-shaped molecular structure. tRNAs have two regions of fundamental functional importance: the anti-codon, which is responsible for specific mRNA codon recognition, and the 3' end, to which the tRNAs corresponding amino acid is attached (by aminoacyl-tRNA synthetases). tRNAs cope with the degeneracy of the genetic code in two manners: having more than one tRNA (with a specific anti-codon) for a particular amino acid; and 'wobble' base-pairing, i.e. permitting non-standard base-pairing at the 3rd anti-codon position. Lineage: Eukaryota; Metazoa; Chordata; Mammalia; Proboscidea; Elephantidae. The record is from Rfam by way of RNAcentral.